CCUACGGGUGGCUGCAGUGGGGAAUAUUGCGCAAUGGGCGAAAGCCUGACGCAGCGACGCCGCGUGAGGGAUGAAGGUCUUCGGAUCGUAAACCUCUGUCAGCAGGGAAGAACGGUAACGGUGCUAAGCAGCAGUGAAUGGACGGUACCUGCAAAGGAAGCACCGGCUAACUCCGUGCCAGCAGCCGCGGUAAGACGGAGGGUGCGAGCGUUAAUCGGACUUACUGGGCGUAAAGCGCUCGUAGGCGGUAUGUCAAGCCAAGGGUGAAAUCCCCGCGCUCAACGUGGGAACUGCCUUUGAAACUGGCAUACUUGAGUGUGUGAGAGGUUAGUGGAAUUCCUGGUGUAGGCGUGAAAUCCGUAGAUAUC
RNAcentral lists this ribosomal RNA (368 nucleotides) under uncultured bacterium. RNAcentral describes it as "partial 16S ribosomal RNA". It matches the Rfam family "Bacterial small subunit ribosomal RNA", at positions 338 to 698 of the family's 1533-position model. The record is from RNAcentral.